UUUAAAAUUUUAUUUUUGGUUCGUCUAAAGACGAUAUGUUUAUUGGAUUUUAAAGAAACAUCUACCAUCUAAAAAAGAUAGUAGAGUUUCAGUAGAAAAUAGGUCUUUCGACCGUUUUUUAAUGAUCCUUCCGCAGGUUCACCUACGAAAA
This 151-nucleotide unclassified non-coding RNA is filed under the name uncultured fungus. Its description in RNAcentral is "sequence contains ITS1". The record is from RNAcentral. Lineage: Eukaryota; Fungi.